RNAcentral lists this ribosomal RNA (593 nucleotides) under Hanseniaspora uvarum. Its description in RNAcentral is "eukaryotic LSU rRNA". It matches the Rfam family "Eukaryotic large subunit ribosomal RNA", at positions 49 to 656 of the family's 3401-position model. Lineage: Eukaryota; Fungi; Ascomycota; Saccharomycetes; Saccharomycodales; Saccharomycodaceae. The record is from RNAcentral.
UACGGAGGAAAAGAAACCAACUGGGAUUACCUUAGUAACGGCGAGUGAAGCGGUAAAAGCUCAAAUUUGAAAUCUGGUACUUUCAGUGCCCGAGUUGUAAUUUGUAGAAUUUGUCUUUGAUUAGGUCCUUGUCUAUGUUCCUUGGAACAGGACGUCAUAGAGGGUGAGAAUCCCGUUUGGCGAGGAUACCUUUUCUCUGUAAGACUUUUUCGAAGAGUCGAGUUGUUUGGGAAUGCAGCUCAAAGUGGGUGGUAAAUUCCAUCUAAAGCUAAAUAUUGGCGAGAGACCGAUAGCGAACAAGUACAGUGAUGGAAAGAUGAAAAGAACUUUGAAAAGAGAGUGAAAAAGUACGUGAAAUUGUUGAAAGGGAAGGGCAUUUGAUCAGACAUGGUGUUUUUUGCAUGCACUCGCCUCUCGUGGGCUUGGGCCUCUCAAAAAUUUCACUGGGCCAACAUCAAUUCUGGCAGCAGGAUAAAUCAUUAAGAAUGUAGCUACUUCGGUAGUGUUAUAGCUUUUUGGAAUACUGUUAGCCGGGAUUGAGGACUGCGCUUCGGCAAGGAUGUUGGCAUAAUGGUUAAAUGCAGCCCGUCUUA